This is a long non-coding RNA of Fundulus heteroclitus (mummichog), 514 nucleotides long. RefSeq lists it as uncharacterized. NCBI's taxonomy places the organism in Eukaryota, Metazoa, Chordata, Actinopteri, Cyprinodontiformes, Fundulidae. The record is from RefSeq and is a predicted model, not a curated record. The transcript has 4 exons.
CUGGUGUAUUUGGAGCAUCAUGUCGCCACGAGGUUCCACUGAUAUUUCUUAACAUGACACAUGGAGAAAGAAAACUGGAGAAGGAAUCCCAAAAGGACUUUCCCUGGCGGUACCAGCAUUUCAUGUGUAUGGGCAUAAACUGCAGUGUCAGAUCAUGUACAGCACGCGACGAGUUCCUGGAUUUGGACUAACAGAUGGUGAAUGCAUGGAGAGGUUAUGGUCGUUUUUGAGAAGAUUUUCUCGAGUGACUAAAGAGAUGACUCCCUCCCAUCGCCUUGACCUUCUCACAGACGCACUCCUGUACUAUGGUAGAAGAAAAUCUGCAGAUCUAGAUGUGCAGCUUCUUCAGAGGUGGGACAAAGCCGAGAAGAUUGCGAGUUUUGCUGAGGAAGAGAUUUCUGCAGUUUUGAAAGAGUCACCGAGUAAGCUUGUCUUAAUUGAAACCUUUUGAUUGCAAAAAAAGUUUUGUAUUCAUUUAUUUAUUUUUCCUUUGUCCAAAGUAAGCAUUUCUGAA